RNAcentral lists this ribosomal RNA (609 nucleotides) under Ischnura heterosticta. Its description in RNAcentral is "partial large subunit ribosomal RNA". It matches the Rfam family "Eukaryotic large subunit ribosomal RNA", at positions 1389 to 1940 of the family's 3401-position model. The record is from RNAcentral. Lineage: Eukaryota; Metazoa; Arthropoda; Insecta; Odonata; Coenagrionidae.
UCGCGGCGGCGUGCGCAGAAGGGUCUGGGCUCGAGCCUGCCUGGAGCCGCCGCCGGUGCAGAUCUUGGUGGUAGUAGCAAAUACUCCAGCGAGGCCCUGGAGGACUGAUGUGGAGAAGGGUUUCGUGUGAACAGCCGUUGCACACGAGUCAGUCGAUCCUAAGCCCUAGGAGAAAUCCGACGCCUACGGCGACGGGAUUUUUGAAAUUUUUUAACGACCCGUUGAUCGGGCGAAAGGGAAUCCGGUUCCUAUUCCGGAACCCGGCAGCGGAACCGCUGUUUGUCGGGCCCUCACAAGGGGUUCGUCAGGGUAACCUAAAAGGGCCCGGAGACGCCGUCGGGAGCCCCGGAAAGAGUUUUCUUUUCUGCAUGAGCGUUCGAGUUCCCUGGAAUCCUCUCGCAGGGAGAUAGGGUUUGGAACGCGAAGAGCACCGCAGUUGCGGCGGUGCCCGGGAAUUCCCGACGGACCUUGAAAAUCCGGGAGAGGGCCACGUGGAGGUGUCGCGCCGGCUCGUACCCAUAUCCGCAGCAGGUCUCCAAGGUGAAGAGCCUCUAGUCGAUAGAAUAAUGUAGGUAAGGGAAGUCGGCAAAUCGGAUCCGUAACUUCGGG